RNAcentral lists this transfer RNA (65 nucleotides) under Dipodomys ordii (Ord's kangaroo rat). It matches the Rfam family "tRNA". Rfam says of the family: Transfer RNA (tRNA) molecules are approximately 80 nucleotides in length. Their secondary structure includes four short double-helical elements and three loops (D, anti-codon, and T loops). Lineage: Eukaryota; Metazoa; Chordata; Mammalia; Rodentia; Heteromyidae. The record is from Rfam by way of RNAcentral.
GGUGGCUCAGUGGUAGAUUGCUUGCCUUGCAUGCAUGAAGCCCUGGGUUCGAUUCCCCAGCACCA